UACGUAGGAUGCAAGCGUUGUCCGGAUUUACUGGGCGUAAAGAGCUCGUAGGCGGGGACGCGCGUCUCGGAGGAAAUUCCAGGGCUCAACCCUGUAGCUUUCCGAGAUACGGCGUCUCUUGAGGGCAGAAGAGGAGAACAGAAUUCCCGGUGUAGCGGUGAAAUGCGUAGAUAUCGGGAGGAAUACCAGUGGCGAAGGCGGUUCUCUGGUCUGUCUCUGACGCUGAGGAGCGAAAGCGUGGGUAGCGAACGGGAUUAGAUACCCUGGUAGU
RNAcentral lists this ribosomal RNA (271 nucleotides) under uncultured prokaryote. RNAcentral's name for it is "partial 16S ribosomal RNA". It matches the Rfam family "Bacterial small subunit ribosomal RNA", at positions 524 to 794 of the family's 1533-position model. The record is from RNAcentral.